RNAcentral lists this ribosomal RNA (30 nucleotides) under Peucetia viridans. Its description in RNAcentral is "partial 28S ribosomal RNA". The record is from RNAcentral. Lineage: Eukaryota; Metazoa; Arthropoda; Arachnida; Araneae; Oxyopidae.
UAAUUUUAUCAUAAGACGAGGGAAAAGGAA